UUCCAGACUCCUACGGGAGGCAGCAGUCGGGAAUAUUGCGCAAUGGAGGAAACUCUGACGCAGUGACGCCGCGUAUAGGAAGAAGGUUUUCGGAUUGUAAACUAUUGUCGUUAGGGAAGAUAAAAGACAGUACCUAAGGAGGAAGCUCCGGCUAACUACGUGCCAGCAGCCGCGGUAAUACGUAGGGAGCAAGCGUUAUCCGGAUUUAUUGGGUUUAAAGGGUGCGCAGGCGGAGGUGCAAGUCAGUGGUCAAAUUGCGGGGCUCAACCCCGUACUGCCGUUGAAACUGCAUCCCUUGAGUGCGCGAGAAGUAUGCGGAAUGCGUGGUGUAGCGGUGAAAUGCAUAGAUAUCACGCAGAACUCCGAUUGCGAAGGCAGCAUACCGGCGCGCAACUGACGCUCAUGCACGAAAGCGUGGGUAUCGAACAGGAUUAGAUACCCUGGUAGUG
Molecule: ribosomal RNA, 449 nt
Filed under: uncultured bacterium
Lineage: Bacteria
Description: bacterial SSU rRNA
Rfam family: Bacterial small subunit ribosomal RNA
Source: RNAcentral